Molecule: long non-coding RNA, 372 nt
Organism: Saccostrea echinata
Lineage: Eukaryota; Metazoa; Mollusca; Bivalvia; Ostreida; Ostreidae
Exons: 3
Source: RefSeq, a predicted model, not a curated record
UCGCUGUACUACUUCUCUACGCAAUGCGAAUUUACAUGACUGUCUUCCAUAUCCUGAACACACUUGCAAUAUUCACUGUAAAUCUGGAUAUAGACUAAGUGCCAACGUAUCCCUUAUGUGUGAUCACUAUGGACAAUGGGUUCCAUCUCCAGUUUCCUUAUGCACAGAAAUAUUCUGCACGUCAGCUAUAAAACAUGUCAAAUUAUCAUCAAGUUGCACACAAAAAGCUGGUGAAUCUUGCAAAUUCUCUUGUAAUGAUGGAUAUACCCCGACAACUUCAGAGAGCUUACUUUGUACAGAUAUGGGCACCUGGAGCCACAACACCAGAAAUUUAUGCUUACGAAACACAUCCUCACAACACGAUAGCGAAGA